Long non-coding RNA from Coregonus clupeaformis (lake whitefish), 613 nucleotides. RefSeq lists it as uncharacterized. The record is from RefSeq and is a predicted model, not a curated record. The transcript has 3 exons. Lineage: Eukaryota; Metazoa; Chordata; Actinopteri; Salmoniformes; Salmonidae.
GUAUAUUGGAAAUAUACCACACCCCCUCGUGCCUUAUUGCUUAAGUGUAUACCAGUAAGUCUACUUACUGACAGAGAUACAAUCUUUGGGGAACGUUAUGUACAGAUGUUCUUGGGUGGAGGCUUCAUAUCUCAUAAGUGCAUGGGUGCUUGUAAGUCGCUCUGGUUAAGAGCGUCUGCUAAAUGAUGUAAAUGUAAUGUAAAUGUGCUCAGCUGCCGUAACCACGCUCUUUGCUGUAUCUGCGUUAUAUCACACAGUUAAAAAGACGCAAGCUCACUUGUCAGGUCACUGGAUUUACUUAGCUUGCUCUGUUUCCUCUACCUCUGACCCUGAUGACAUCAUGGUGACCCUGACUGGACCUCCUCUAUGGGGCUUCCGCCUCUAACUGUCACCAAGGUGAAUGGGUUAAUCAAAGCUGAGCUGGCUAACUAGUGAGUGGGUGAUAUCAUAGUGGAGAUAAAUGGAGAGAGUACUGCAGGGAUGCUGCAUGUGCAAGCUCAGAAAAACAGCAAGGAAUCCAGACCCCCAGCUUACACUCCUCAUAGACAGACCUAAAACAGUAUUUGGACUGACCAGAAGGGUGGCUUUUCCUCAGGACUUAGUCUGUCAUAAC